CAACGUGAACAAUCUGCCCUACAGACAGGCACAACCAGCCGAAAGGCUGGCUAAUUCCUGAUAUUAUGAGGGUUUGGCAUCAUUCCCUUAUGAAAGGCCCGCAAGGGUUGCUGUAGGAGGAGUUCGCGGCCUAUCAGCUAGUUGGCGGGGUAACGGCCCACCAAGGCUUUGACGGGUAGCUGGUCUGAAAGGACGGACAGCCACAAAGGCACUGAGACACGGGCCUU
This 227-nucleotide ribosomal RNA is filed under the name uncultured bacterium. RNAcentral's name for it is "partial 16S ribosomal RNA". It matches the Rfam family "Bacterial small subunit ribosomal RNA", at positions 113 to 334 of the family's 1533-position model. The record is from RNAcentral.